Molecule: long non-coding RNA, 6832 nt
Filed under: Olea europaea subsp. europaea
Lineage: Eukaryota; Viridiplantae; Streptophyta; Magnoliopsida; Lamiales; Oleaceae
Source: RNAcentral
CUCUCUCUAUAAUAUUAAGCAAUAGUCAAAAGUUCAAAAGUUGUUACAAUGAAAAGUAAUCUCAUAUUUAUACUAAUGAAUAAAAACGUCCAAACCCAUCAAAUUAUGGUAAUAAUUUGAUUUCAUAAGAAUUCUAUCGAAACUAGAAAAUUCGGCCAAAAAUAGAAAAUUCGCCAAUUUUUUGGCUUGUGCGGCCGCAUGGUGUAAAUCCAUGCGGUCGCAUGGUUCAACUGGAAUUGGACUUUUGGUUUUCGGUAUACAUGUGUGCGGCUGCAUGUGGUUUUGCCUGUGUGGCCGCAUGGUGUUGUCUUCAGCCUCCGCUUUCGUCGCUUGAUAACAAAUUGAUCCAAGUUGAUUCGGCCUUCGACCCGAACAUAAAAGUUGCUCCAUUUCGAGUCCUGAACGUGGUUCCAUCAAUGGUUUCUUGAACGAGCAAUCCCAUCACUUGUUUCACUUACUUUUCCCUUGAUCGCGUUAUUGGUCCGCCAUCGACUAUCAACGGGUCUCGUCUCGCACUUGCCUUCGUCGGGCUCGACUCCUGGAUCAUAUCAUCCCCUCCCUCUUCAAAAGGAUUCAUCCUCGAAUCUGAACCUACAUCAAACAGAGAGAGAUCAGAUACAUUAAAAGUAGCUGAAACAUUAUACUCACCAAGUAAAUCCACUUUGUAUGCAUUAUCAUUGAUCCUCUCGAUGAUUUGAAACGGUCCAUCGCCUCGUGGUUACAAUUUUGACUUCCUCUGUUCUGGAAAACGCUCUUUUCUGAAAUGCACCCAGACCCAAUCUCCAGGUUCAAAUGUAACGCGUCUUCUUCCUUUAUUUGCUUUUGAUGCAAUCAGCUUUCCUUUCUCUUCGAUCUGCAUCCUGACCUUUUCAUGGAGUGUUUUCACCAUCUCGGCUUUUCGUUUCCCAUCCAAGCUACCUCGUUCAUGCACAGGCAAAGGCAUUAAAUCCAUAGGUGUUAGUGGAUUAAAACCAUAAACAAUUUCAAAAGGAGAAAACGAAGUAGUAAAAUGUGUAGCUCGAUUAUAUGCAAACUCUAUAAACGGUAAACACUCUUCCCAUGAUUUUCGAUUUUUAUUGAUCACUAUCCUAAGUAGUUGAGUCAUAGUUCGAUUAACUACCUCAGUUUAUCCAUCUGUUUGUGGGUGACAAGUUGUAGAAAAUAAUAACUUAGUUCCUAACUUACUCCACAGAACACGCCAAAAAUGACUCAAAAACUUCACUUCCCUAUCAGACACUAGACUUUUAGGUACUCCAUGUAAACGUACUAUUUUCCUAAAGAAUAAGUCCAUAGUAUUAGUAGCAUCGUCAGUUUUAUGACAUGGUAUGAAGUGCGCCAUCUUACUAAACCUAUCGACGACUACAAAUAUUGAAUCCCGACCCCUUUUUGACCUAGGCAAACCUAACACAAAGUCCAUAGAUAUGUCUACCCAAGGUUCACUAGGUACAGGGAAAGGAGUAUACAAACCAUGGGAUUGGACCUUAGACUUAGCCUUUUUACAAGUUAUGCACUUUCCACAUAUUUGUUCUACAUCAUGUCGCAUUUUAGGCCAAUAAAAAUGUUCCCCUAACAUGUCUAAAGUCUUUUGAACCCCGAAGUGUCCCAUUAAACCACCUCCAUGUGCUUCCCUUACCAAUAAUUCAUGCAAAGAACAAUUAGGAAUGUACAACUUAUCUUCCCUAAACAAAUAUCCUUCAUGCCUAUAGAAUUUAUCAAAUGCACCUUUGUCACAUGAAGCAUAAAUACAAGAAAAAUCACAAUUAGAUUCAUACAUGCCCUUAAUAUGUUCGAAACCAAGUAGUUUAGUACUUAAUGAAUUUAAAAGCACGUACCUUCGAGACACGUAUCAGCAACUAUAAUUUCAUUACCUUGUUUGUACUUGAUGACAUAGGGAAAUGUCUCGAUAAACUCCACCCAUCUCGCAUGUCUUUUGUUCAACUUACCUUGACCUCGCAAAUGCUUUAAAGAUUCAUGAUCGAUGUGUAUCACGAAUUCCUUUGGCCAUAAGUAGUGCUGCCGAGUCUCCAAUGCUCGAACAAGUGAAUACAACUCCUUGUCAUAUGUCGGAUAAUUCAAUGCUGCCCCACUCAACUUUUUGCCAAAGUAAGCAAUAGGUCUCCUUUCCUGCAUUAACACUGCUCCUAUACCUAUUCCUGAUGCAUCACACUCAACCUCGAAUGUUUUAUCAAAAUUUGGUAGUGCUAAAACAGGUGUUUUACAUAGAUUAUCCUUAAUUGUGUUAAAUUCAAUUUCUUGAGAUUCUCCCCAAUGGAAACCUACACUCUUCUUUACUAUUUCAGUCAACGGUGUGGUGAUGGUGCUAAAAAUCUCUUACAAAUCGCCUAUAAAAACUAGCCAAUCCAUGAAAACUCCUAACUUCAGUUAUAGUUUUAGGUGUCGGCCAUUCCUUUAUAGCUUUUAUCUUUUCUUCAUCGACUUCCACCCCGUUAGCACCAACCACAAAUCCUAGGAAAAUAACUCUAUUCAUGCAAAAUGUGCACUUUUUGAAAUUAGCAUAUAGUUGUUUAUUUCGCAACACAACAAGCACACAAUUUAAAUGUUCUAAAUGCUCAUCUAGGUUUUUGCUAUAGAUUAAGAUGUCAUCAAAAUAAACUACAACAAAUUUCCCAAUAAAAGCACGCAAAACAUGGUUCAUUAAACGCAUAAAAGUGCUCGGUGUAUUAGUGAGUCCAAACGGCAUAACUAACCAUUCAUACAAUCCAUACUUAGUCUUAAACACCGUUUUUCAUUCAUCACCCUCUCGCAUGCAAAUUUGAUGAUACCCACUCUUAAGAUCAAUCUUACUAAAAAUGCAAGCACCAUGCAACUCAUCAAGCAUAUCAUCUAACCUAGGUAUUGGGUGACGAUACUUUACCGUGAUAUUGUUGAUAACUCGGCAAUCCACGCACAUUCUCCAAGUCUCGUCCUUCUUAGGCACCAGCAAAACAUGUACAGCACAUGGGCUCAUGCUCUCCCUGACAUAACCUUUGCUCAUCAACUCCUCCACUUGCUUUUGAAGCUCCUUCAUCUCCUCGAGAUUGCUUCGGUAAGCUGGUCGAUUCGGUAUGACAGCUCUGGGUACAAAGUCAAUCUGGUGCUCGAUGCCUCUGAUUGGUGACAAUCCACUUGGCAUCUCCUCAGGAAACACAUUGUCGAAUUCCUGCAAUAAAGACUUGACCAAACUAGGGAGGGAUGUGUUAGAAUCCUCGAAAUUGAGGAGGGACUCCUUGUACACUAACAAUAUCAUUUGCCUAUUAUCGCUCAUAGCCUUUUUCAACUCACUCUCUUUUGCAUAGAAGUUAACCUUUGGCUUUUCUCUCCGCUCAGUUGACUCUUUUUCUCUCCUCUCAACUGACUCUUUCUCUCCACUCAUGUGGCUCUCUCUCUUUUCUCCACUCUCAGCCACCUCACUAUUUUCUCUCUUAGUGAUGGUUUCACUAUUGCCUCUCCUUUUUCCCGACUCUCUUAUUCUCUCGUCUUCCUCACUUUUCAGUUUGAUAUGAUCUCCAUACACUUGUGCCGGUGUUAAUGGCACAAGAGUAAUAGUCUUCCCAUCCUUGACAAAGUUAUAACGAUUCCUAUAUCCAUCAUGUGUGACCCUUCUAUCAUAUUGCCAUGAUCUUCCUAAAAAGAUAUGACCCACAUGCAUAGGCACCACAUCACAUACUACUUCGUCACUAUAACUCCCAAUUGAGAAAUUAAUUAAAACUCUUUUAUUCACCCUAACUUCCCCACUUUCAUUCAACCAUUGCAACUUAUAAGGCCUAGAGUGUCUUAACAAUGCUUGUCCUAAUUUCUCAACUAAAGUUGUAAUAGCUAUAUUCGUGCAACUCCCACCAUCAAUAAUCAUACUAAAUACCUUAUCGUUGACGUAACAACGUGUAUGGAAUAUAUUUUCUCGCUGCUGCUCCAAAUCAUCCACUUUGACUUGAGUGUUAAGAGCUCUUCUUGACACCAACGAUUCCCCAACAGCAAACUCCAAUUUUUCUUCUUCUUCAACGUCCUCAAAUGCAGACAUGUCCUCAAACUCUCCUUCACUUUCACUCACCACAUCUCCAUUAUCCAACAAAAUCGUUACCCAUUUAUUUGGGCAUUGAGAAGCAAUGUGCCCUGACCCUAAGCAUCUAAAACACUUGAUGUCUCGGUUCCUUGAUGGUUGUGAAUCUGUUUUGGAUGCUGUUUUGCUAGCACUUUCUUCUUUUCCUUUCUGCCACUCAUUCCUACCUUUAGGUACAACUUUAUCACCUUUGUUGUUGUUUUUGUUCCACCCUAUCUUCCAAGAUGGAUUAACACUCGAAGUUCCUAACGAAUGCCUAACUGCCUCUUUCCUCUUCAAUUGUCUCUCUACCUUCAUAGCCACAUGCAACAUAUCUUCCAACUCCACAUAAUGUUGCAACUCCACUACAUUGGCAAUUUCCCUAUUCAACCCAUUCAAGAAUCGUGCCAUGGUAGCCUCUCUAUCCUCCACCACAUUGGCCCUAAUCAUGAGUAUUUUCAUCUCCUUAUGAUAGUCCUCUACACUUUUUGACCCUUGAUAUAGACCUUGCAGUUUUUGAUGGAUCUCUUGGUAAUAGUGGCUAGGAACAAACCUCUUUCUCAUCAAUGACUUAAAUUCCUCCCAAGUGCUGAUUGGUCUUUCCCCACUCCUACGUUGUGAAGUAAUCACUUGAUCCCACCAUGAAAUUACAUAGUCACUGAACUCCAAAACUGCUAAUUUCACCUUUUUCUCUUCCGAGUAGUUAUAACACUCGAAGAUCAUUUCAACCUUCCUUUCCCACUCCAGGUAUGCCUCGGGAUCACUCCUUCCUUUGAAUGAAAGAACUGUCAUUUUUAUAUUUCCCAAGUUUCCAUCCAACUCCUUUCCGCGAUCAUUCCGACCCCGUCUGUCGAACCUAUCGCCUCUAUUCCUCAUCCUUCCCAUCUCAACACCGUAAAAUUCAUCUUCGCCCAUGUCACUCCCAUAUCCAUACUCCUCUCGCCUUUCCCUCCUAGGCUCCCAUCUAUCCGGUCCUCUGGCAUUAGAUACAUCCACUCGAUGCCCCCGACUGAGAUUAGCCACCGAUGUAUCUAAUCUAUUCAUCCAAGCCUCCUGCUUCUCCAACCUAUCUCUCACAUCUCCAAACGCCCUCUCAAACCUUUGCUCUAAAUCCUCCGAUGCAUUCCUAUUAUUGCCUUGUCGGCUUGAGUUUGAUUCCGCCCUUUCUGACAUCCUAACACUAAAAUUUUAUUUUACUGCCUCACCAAAAGUCACUCGAAACACACACAAGGGCUUUUACCCUUUAUUAAGCUCACCUCUCUGCCUUUUACCACUCAGUUCUUUCAACAAUUGUUUCUAGGAACAAUCAAUGAACUCAAUCAAUCAAUCAAUUCAUGUAGAAUUUCCCAAACCGAAUGUGACUCAAUAAUUAUAACAAAGGACUCAAAGAAAACUUUUAAAACUUGAUUUGAAUGAAGGAAUGGAGUGUUCCAAUGUGUCCAAGUAAUUUAGAAGCAAUAAUGAAUAAUAAAAGUUGGUAUUUGACGGAUCAAUAAUAUUUAACAAGUUUUUUUUACUGUACGGAUGAACAGUACUGUACGGAUGAACAAUAUUUUUUUUUAAGAUCCGAAAAUCAAUAACAAAACCAACAAAGAAAACGAAAACUGAUUUGGGCGAAAAUUGAGCCCAGAAACGGAAUUUGAAGAUUUUUUAUGAAACUUUUGGAUCAAAGAAUCAAGAAAACCUUUUGGACACAAGAACACAAGGAAUUGAAAAAAAGUAGAAAACAAAGGAUAUAACUUGAUUAAAUUGGAGCCAAAGCUUUGAUACCAACUGAUGCGAACCCCGUAGUAAUGGAAACUACGAAACCCACACGAGAUUGAUGUGGAACCCAAGAACGCCAAUACUAACCCGAUUUUGGAUCUUGAACCCCAAGAAUUGAACCAAGAAACCCUAGACUAGCGAAGAACCUAAAACCCCUUGAUUACAAUUGAAAAAACCCACAAUCCGAUUGAUCAGAACGCCACAAGAAGUUGAUUCUUGAUAAGUUCCAAGAUUGUUCAAGAAGAACAAUAAAUUGAAAGAACAAUUCUCUCUCUAUAAUAUUAAGCAAUAUCAGAAGUUCAAAAGUUGUUACAAUGAAAAGUAAUCUCUUAUUUAUACUAAUGAAUAAAAACGUCCAAAACCAUCAAAUUAUGGUAAUAAUUUGAUUUCAUAAAAAUUCUAUCGAAACUAGGAAAUUUGACCAAAAAUAGAAAAUUCGCCAAUUUUUUGGCUUGUGCGGUUGCAUGGUGUAAAUCCAUGCGGUCGCAUGGUUCAACUGGAAUUGGACUUUUGGUUUUCGAUAUGCAUGUGUGCGGCCGCAUGUGGUUUUGCCUGUGCGGCCGCAUGGUGUUGUCUUCAGCCUCCACUUUCGUCGCUUGAUAACAAAUUGAUCUAAGUUGAUUCGGCCUUCGACCUGAACAUGAAAGUUGCUCCAUUUCGAGUCCCGAACAUAGUUCCAUCAAUGGUUUCUUGAGCGAGCAAUCCCAUCGUUUGUUUCACUUGCUUUGCCCUUGAUCGCGUCAUUGGUCCGUCAUCGACUAUCAACGGGUCUCGUCUCGCACUUGCCUUCGUCGGGCUCGACUCCUGGAUCAUAUCAACAAGAUUGUUGUUUUAUUUAUCAUUACUCUAUCAAUAUCUAAAUAUUUGACCCUAUUAAAAUUGAAUUUAAUAUAUUCAUCAUUUUAGUCCUUCAACCUUUCAAAUCUAAAAUAUAAUAAAUAAAAUAAAUAAAUUCUAGCAUGUGAAAAUUUUCGAGACUUUACAUAUAUGAUUUCAAUGGAGAGUAUUUAGUUCCAAAAGAACAAAUCAUCC